RNAcentral lists this ribosomal RNA (427 nucleotides) under uncultured phototrophic eukaryote. RNAcentral describes it as "bacterial SSU rRNA". It matches the Rfam family "Bacterial small subunit ribosomal RNA", at positions 355 to 795 of the family's 1533-position model. The record is from RNAcentral.
UGGGGAAUUUUCCGCAAUGGGCGAAAGCCUGACGGAGCAAUACCGCGUGAGGGAUGACGGCCUAUGGGUUGUAAACCUCUUUUUUCAGGGAGGAACAAAAUGACGUGUACCUGAAGAAUAAGCAUCGGCUAACUCCGUGCCAGCAGCCGCGGUAAGACGGAGGAUGCAAGUGUUAUCCGGAAUCACUGGGCGUAAAGCGUCUGUAGGUGGUUUGAUAAGUCAACUGUUAAAUCUUGAGGCUUAACCUCAAAACCGCAGUCGAAACUAUCAGACUAGAGUAUAGUAGGGGUAAAGGGAAUUUCCAGUGGAGCGGUGAAAUGCGUAGAUAUUGGAAAGAACACCGAUGGCGAAGGCACUUUACUGGGCUAUUACUAACACUGAGAGACGAAAGCUAGGGUAGCAAAUGGGAUUAGAUACCCCAGUAGUC